Molecule: ribosomal RNA, 216 nt
Filed under: Glomeromycotina sp.
Lineage: Eukaryota; Fungi; Glomeromycota
Description: partial small subunit ribosomal RNA
Rfam family: Eukaryotic small subunit ribosomal RNA (bases 75-216)
Source: RNAcentral
GGGUCAGUAGGUUGGUCGUGCCACCGGUACGUACUGGUCUCACUGACUCCUCCUUCCUGAAGAACCGUAAUGCCAUUAAUUUGGUGUUGCGGGGAAACAGGACUGUUACUUUGAAAAAAUUAGAGUGUUUAAAGCAAGCUAACGCUUGAAUACAUUAGCAUGGAGUAAUGAAAUAGGACGAUCGAUCCUAUUUUGUUGGUUUCUAGGAUUGACGUA